CUGACAUCAAGUUCCCUCUCUCUCAAGGGUUUAAUCUAUAAAAAAAAAACAAGAAGUGGUUUCACCAACCUAGCGUCUUUUUCAGCUCUCAGCAUUCCAGUGUUUUUUGGCAGCCUGCUGCUUCCCUUUCUACACUCCCAGUGCUCCAAGGCAGCCUUGACUGCUUUCCUUUUGCACUCCCAGUGCUCCAAGCCAGCCUUGACUGCUUCCCUUUUGCAUUCCCAGUGCUUAGUCUCCUUGACUCUCUUACUGGAGAGACUCUCUUACCUGCUUCCAGGGAGGAAGCCAGCAAUCCCUCCUUUACCUGCAUAGCAGGGAGGGGUUUAUUCCCACUGCUGCAGCUGAGCAGUGGGUUGGAGACAGUCCAAAAAACCCUGGCCUGGAUCUAUGUCUCCCAAGAAAACC
Molecule: non-coding RNA, 405 nt
Organism: Pelobates cultripes (western spadefoot toad)
Lineage: Eukaryota; Metazoa; Chordata; Amphibia; Anura; Pelobatidae
Source: the annotation of a GenBank genome assembly